Molecule: long non-coding RNA, 583 nt
Organism: Cataglyphis hispanica
Lineage: Eukaryota; Metazoa; Arthropoda; Insecta; Hymenoptera; Formicidae
Exons: 3
Source: RefSeq, a predicted model, not a curated record
UAAAACAGUUUGCAGAAUCUUUUCGAAGAUAUUUAUUGACUAUCACGUAUCACAUCAUAGCUAGAAGACUCGGCGUACGUUGCUAUCUAAUAAAAUAUGAAAAUAAUAUUGGAAUCAUGCGUGAACCAAAAUAUUAUACAAGUAUUUGGUAUGAUGCAGAAAUUUUUUAUCUAAAUCCCAACUCCAAUCUAUCUUACCCAUCGAACAUUAUCAGAGGAUCAUAUCAAAAUGUACUUUAUUCGGAGGAAACUGUGAAAUUAUUCAAUGAUAUUUCGGUGACAAUUUUUAUAAUGGAAGAUUACUGCACAAAACUAAAAUGUAUUAUACAUGAGUACGAUUUCAAUUUUAUUUCCUCUUUAUUAUACCAAUGUUUUGCAGAAUACGAGUACAUUGCAGAAUACAUGAAUAUUGAAAAUAUAUACGAAAUAAUUAUAACAAAUUCACUAAGGGUAAGUUAUAACACAUCUUAUAAUGUACUAUUUUAUAUAUUUAAUACAUCAAAAAAUUAUAUUAAUUAUAAUUACACUAGUUUACAAGGUAUUGUACGAAAGCAUUUGAACACUGUUUCUAGAGUAAUAUUCAA